CGGGGCCUACGGGAGGCAGCAGUGAGGAAUAUUGGUCAAUGGGAGAGAUCCUGAACCAGCCAAGCCGCGUGAGGGAAGACGGCCCUAUGGGUUGUAAACCUCUUUUGUCGGAGAACAAAACCCGGGACGUGUCCCGGACUGCGUGUAUCCGAAGAAAAAGCAUCGGCUAACUCCGUGCCAGCAGCCGCGGUAAUACGGAGGAUGCGAGCGUUAUCCGGAUUUAUUGGGUUUAAAGGGUGCGUAGGCGGAUCGUUACGUCAGUGGUCAAAUUGAGGGGCUCAACCCCUUCCCGCCAUUGAAACUGG
RNAcentral lists this ribosomal RNA (305 nucleotides) under uncultured bacterium. Its description in RNAcentral is "bacterial SSU rRNA". It matches the Rfam family "Bacterial small subunit ribosomal RNA", at positions 333 to 636 of the family's 1533-position model. The record is from RNAcentral.